RNAcentral lists this transfer RNA (66 nucleotides) under Agasicles hygrophila. Its description in RNAcentral is "tRNA-Ser". The record is from RNAcentral. Lineage: Eukaryota; Metazoa; Arthropoda; Insecta; Coleoptera; Chrysomelidae.
GAAAUAAGUAAAUCAAAAAUAAGCUUCUAACUUAACUUUUAAGCGUUGAAAUACGUUUUUAUUUCU